This 468-nucleotide ribosomal RNA is filed under the name uncultured bacterium. Its description in RNAcentral is "partial 16S ribosomal RNA". It matches the Rfam family "Bacterial small subunit ribosomal RNA", at positions 28 to 507 of the family's 1533-position model. The record is from RNAcentral.
GAUGAACGCUGGCGGCGUGCUUAACACAUGCAAGUCGAACGGUGAAGGCGGAGCUUGCUCUGCUGGAUCAGUGGCGAACGGGUGAGUAACACAUGAGCAAUCUGCCCCUGACUCUGGGAUAAGCGCUGGAAACGGCGUCUAAUACUGGAUACGAGCUGCGAAGGCAUCUUCAGCAGCUGGAAAGAAUUUCGGUCAGGGAUGAGCUCGCGGCCUAUCAGCUUGUUGGUGAGGUAAUGGCUCACCAAGGCGUCGACGGGUAGCCGGCCUGAGAGGGUGACCGGCCACACUGGGACUGAGACACGGCCCAGACUCCUACGGGAGGCAGCAGUGGGGAAUAUUGCACAAUGGGCGAAAGCCUGAUGCAGCAACGCCGCGUGAGGGACGACGGCCUUCGGGUUGUAAACCUCUUUUAGCAGGGAAGAAGCGAAAGUGACGGUACCUGCAGAAAAAGCGCCGGCUAACUACGUG